CCUACGGGGGGCUGCAGUGGGGAAUAUUGGACAAUGGGGGCAACCCUGAUCCAGCCAUGCCGCGUGUGUGAAGAAGGCCCUCGGGUUGUAAAGCACUUUCAGUGAGGAAGAACGCCUGGUGGUUAAUACCCAUCAGGAAAGACAUCACUCACAGAAGAAGCACCGGCUAACUCCGUGCCAACAGCCGCGGUAAUACGGAGGGUGCGAGCGUUAAUCGGAAUUACUGGGCGUAAAGCGCGCGUAGGUGGCUUGAUAAGCCGGUUGUGAAAGCCCCGGGCUCAACCUGGGAACGGCAUCCGGAACUGUCAAGCUAGAGUGCAGGAGAGGAAGGUAGAAUUCCCGGUGUAGCGGUGAAAUGCGUAGAGAUCGGGAGGAAUACCAGUGGCGAAGGCGGCCUUCUGGACUGACACUGACACUGAGGUGCGAAAGCGUGGGUAGCAAACAGGAUUAGAUACCCGUGUAGUC
Molecule: ribosomal RNA, 465 nt
Filed under: Vreelandella stevensii
Lineage: Bacteria; Pseudomonadati; Pseudomonadota; Gammaproteobacteria; Oceanospirillales; Halomonadaceae
Description: partial 16S ribosomal RNA
Rfam family: Bacterial small subunit ribosomal RNA
Source: RNAcentral